RNAcentral lists this non-coding RNA (24 nucleotides) under Arabidopsis thaliana (thale cress). Lineage: Eukaryota; Viridiplantae; Streptophyta; Magnoliopsida; Brassicales; Brassicaceae. The record is from RNAcentral.
UAUGAGAAAUAGGUGUUUUUGCCU